RNAcentral lists this long non-coding RNA (2937 nucleotides) under Homo sapiens (human). RNAcentral's name for it is "HSALNT0387788". The record is from RNAcentral. Lineage: Eukaryota; Metazoa; Chordata; Mammalia; Primates; Hominidae.
GGUUGACUUGGUGACCGUGGAGGAUGCCUGGGUUACUGAGCCGCCUGGGGCUCUGGGCCGACUGCUCUUCCCCUGCAACACGGCACACGCCUCCAAGGGAGGGUUCAGUCUCAGUCCCAUUCUGCAGCUGAGGAAACUGAGGCUGGUUAAGAGGAUGUGUUUGCCUGUGGUCACCAGGCAGGGAGCGGUGGGGGUGGGGUGUGGACCGAGGCUGGCUGGAGCUGGAGCAGUGUCCUCAGCCACUGGCCGGGAAGGCUUUGUUAGACUAAGCGUGGCCUGAGGAUGCCUCAGUGCCAAGUCACACCAUGACCUGGACCUGCCUUAGUCCGUGAAUCAAUGGGUAACCUCACUGGGAGGAGCUGGUCUCAGUCAUUCGCGGCAGCCCUCUGCGGUCACCCGCAGGCGCCCAUGACUCCGAUGAAGCCACGCCAAACACCACCCAACCACGUGGCCUCGGCACCCGCCUCCUGUCUCUGCCUGUGAACACCGCCAGCCAAGCCGAGGCCAGGGCUCUCGGAACACGCUGGCUCUGAGGCCCAUCCUAUUCGGGGUUGUUCUCUGCUCAGUUAAACUCUGUUCAAUACAGCGUGUCUAAGGUUUUUCCCUUUUGACAGGCUCCAGGACUGAAGCCGCAGAGGCCACUCCCACAGGUCACCAGAAACUAAGACGUGAGUGACGCCCGGCAGUGGCCGACUCUUCCGCCGUGGCUGUGCCCAUGGGAGACGUGAGUGACGCCCGGCAGUGGCCGACUCUUCUGCGGUGGCUGCGCCCACGGGAGACGUGAGUGACCCCGGCAGUGGCCGACUUCCACGGUGGCUGCGCCCACGGGAGACGUGAGUGAUGCCCGGCAGUGGCCAACUCUUCUGCGGUGGCUGUGCCCACGGGAGACGUGAGUGACGCCCGGCAGUGGCUUACUCUUUCGUGGUAGCUGCGCCCACGACUUCUGGAGACAUCAGAGGCUUCCAGGCCCCACUGUUUUCUGCAUUUGGCCACUGCCCACGCUUCUGGGGCUGAGGUCUCCCUCUUGGGGCCCUUUUCAGCCCCUAAAGAUCUCCUAGCCUCCGAACCUGAAAUGGCUCCCCCAAAUUGCAGAGGAGGUGGGGAAGUGGCAGCCACAGCUCAGUCACCAGCCUGCUCUGCCGCCUGUGAAGCUGCAGCUGGCAGCAACACCCCAACCAAAAUAGUGGCUGAGACGUGCCCGACAGCUGGCGUUUAUUUCUGUAUUAGCAGAAUCGGGUGGGAGUCAGCACCUGCCUGACCCGGCUGCAGCAUGCCAGACGCCGUCACCUGCUGCCUGGGCCCUGGAACCCUCCGCAAGGUGGGGGCUGGGAGAUGGCCUUGUGUAGGGCAAGGCCUCUGCUGACCCUGCUGCUGGGCCCCCACCGGGCCCUGGGCCUCUGUCUCAGCAUGGCAGACUGGAGGCCUCCCUGCAGCCUGUCCUGGGGGGGCUCCUGGGGUGGGGCUGGGCCUGACCAUCUCUGGGUUCUCAGCACAGAGGCCGUCAAAACGUCAGGCAGGCUGGGCUGUGAGACUGUGGGUGCAUUAUGUGUGCUCUCAGGCCUCAGUCUCCUCAUCUGUGGUAUGGGGGUGCUGACGCCACCCCACUGACGGGCUCAGAAACGAGUGAAGGAUAAAAUGCACCGAGACUCCGUGCCCACCUCUCUGUUAUCCACACCAGCCUGGCCUCACGCAGAGACUCUGUGCCCCUCUCCUGCUCUAGAUACCAGCCAGGCCUCACGGCAGCCCUUGCUGGGCCCUGCAUUAACUCCCCCAGGCCUUGGACUCUGAGAGUUGGGACUCUCGUCUGGCCCAGGUGACAGAGGAGGAAACUGAGAAGCAGAGAGCCACGUGACUCACCUGUGGGUGGACUGUGGGAAUCGCCAAGCUCGGAUGAGAACCACGUGGGCAGUUCCAGGCCCGAGGCCGCCCACCCCGGGGGGAGAGGCUCCCCGGAGCAUCUGAGUCUGCAGCCCACUGGGGUGUCCGCCCGUGCAGCCACCAAGCCUGCUGGCCCUAGUACACCUCGCCACGCUCCCUCAGCCCGAGAGAGCCGGCCGGGCUGGCUGCAGCCCCAGAGGAGGUUCCCUCUCUUACCCAGAGGGGAGCAGGGUGAGCCGCGUGUCCACGGCACCCCCAGCCCAGAUCCCCGGAGCCCACAGCCUUGGCCUUGAUGGAGCGUGGACCUAGGACGUGGACACCCACGUUCUGUGGCUGCUCAAGUGAUCCUCCAGCCUUGGUGAGGACGGCCUCAAGACCCACGUGUGCGGGUAAAGACUCCGCAGCAUGCGGCCGAAGGACGGCCCGGUGUACGGGAUCCGUAUGCAGACCCUGCCUUUGACGCCUGUGUGUACCCGCGGCGCCCGCCGCCUCGUCCUUGGCUCCAGGCUGGCACUGCUGGGCCGCAAGCCGGGCUCCUCGGGUGCCUUCCCCAAAGUCUUCCCAGAGCUGCCGCGGGAGGGCGGACAGGCGUGCUGGACCCUGAGCAUGCUGGACCAGGGCCCAGCAGCAGGCCACUUGGGAGAGCCAGCGGUUCUAAGCAUUUGUAAAUAAAUCCAAUUCCCCAACUUUCUCAUGCGUUUCAAAGCUGCCACGCCGCCUUCUCCUGCCAGCGCCUCCCCAUUCCCCACGAGUGCAUCCACCAGGCCCUCGAGCAGUGCCGGCUGCCGGCCUGUUUUUCUCUUUGGAUGGCUGAACAGGGGCCAACCGGCCAUCUGUUGAGGACAUCAGGAGCAUGAGCUGGGAAACGAGGUCCCGGGAGGUCUGAGGAGCCAAACAUCCUCCCUCCCUCAUCAGCCCCUCCCCAGGGGCCUCCUCUUGGUCAGUUCGGGAACCGGCUGGUCGCUGUUAGGGCGGGGAGAACAUCUGGAUCCCUGGCUGGCUGGGGCCAGCUGAGGCCAGCUGGGAGCCGGGGCGGUGGGUGGGGCUGCAUCCCCCAGC